CUCGGAGUUUUGAUCCUGGCUCAGGACGAACGCUGGCGGAAUGCUUUACACAUGCAAGUCGAACGGUAGAGGGGGCAACCCCGUUCGAGAGUGGCGAACGGGUGAGUAAGUAUAUCGGAACGUGCCCAGUCGUGGGGAUAACGUAGCGAAAGUUACGCUAAUACCGCAUACGAUCUAAGGAUGAAAGCGGGGAUCGCAAGACCUUCGCGCGAUUGGAGCGGCCGAUAUCAGAUUAGGUAGUUGGUGA
This 247-nucleotide ribosomal RNA is filed under the name uncultured Comamonadaceae bacterium. Its description in RNAcentral is "partial 16S ribosomal RNA". It matches the Rfam family "Bacterial small subunit ribosomal RNA", at positions 1 to 255 of the family's 1533-position model. The record is from RNAcentral. Lineage: Bacteria; Pseudomonadati; Pseudomonadota; Betaproteobacteria; Burkholderiales; Comamonadaceae.